CUAGAAUCAUUCAAAUAUCAUCCAAUUCAUUCAAAUACGCACCUUUAUCAUCAAAUACGCACCUUUAUCAUCAAAUCUGCCAAUAUGCCCCCCCAGCUCAGCGAAUUUACCACCAAUGAGAUCGUACGCCUUCUAAACGAUGGUUAUAUGCCUGCUCAGAUUGCGCGGACCAUUGAGUGCCAUCUGGCCACUGUAUAUCGAAUCCAACGAAAUAUUCGCUGCUUUGGAACUGCUAGAAGUCCUCGUUCAACAUGGGGUGUAAAGCCAAAGAUCACACCGGAUAUCUUGUCAGGUUUGGAGGAUUUUUUUGAGGCAUAUCCAACUGCAUAUCGCGAUGAGGCUGUCUGCUUUGUGAAGGAUGAAUUUGAUGUUGAUAUCCACCCUCGAUCGAUAUCUAGAUUGUUGAAGAAACUGAAUUUGACACGGAAAAAGGUUGAACCCGUGGCCACUCAACGCGACGAAGAACUUCGAGCUGAAUGGCGUAUUCAAGUUACUCAGUAUCAACCUGAUCAACUUAUAUUUUUAGAUGAGAGUGCUGCGAAUGAACGUACUGCAGAUCGACGAUAUGGAUGGUCAAGCAGAGGAUUCCCUUGUCGCAUUAGAAGGCCCUGUAAACGAUCUCGCAGAUGGUCAAUCUUACCUGCGAUAAGUGUCAAUGGAUAUCUUGAUUAUGAUAUAUAUCAGGGGUCCUAUAAUACAGAGAGGUUCAAUGAGUUUGUACGUGUCCGGAUACUGCCCAAAUGCCAACGAGGUUAUCACUACCUAGUGAUGGAUAAUUGCUCUUCUCAUCGUUCACAAGCACUGCGAGAUCUCUGCAGAGAAGCUGGCAUUGGACUUUUAUUCUUACCCCCAUAUUCUCCUGAUUAUAAUCCUAUAGAGGAGUCAUUUCACGCGUUGAAAGAAUGGAUUAGAAGAUACAGAUGUCAGUUAGAGAAUCAGUUUGAUGGAGAUUUUGAAGCCUUCUUGCAUCAUGCAGUUGAGAACUUCAUGGGAGA
This 995-nucleotide small RNA is filed under the name Histoplasma capsulatum. RNAcentral describes it as "hypothetical RNA". The record is from RNAcentral. Lineage: Eukaryota; Fungi; Ascomycota; Eurotiomycetes; Onygenales; Ajellomycetaceae. RNAcentral also lists the same sequence under 1 other name.